RNAcentral lists this signal recognition particle RNA (97 nucleotides) under Lamprobacter modestohalophilus. RNAcentral describes it as "Bacterial small signal recognition particle RNA". It matches the Rfam family "Bacterial small signal recognition particle RNA". From Rfam's summary of the family: The signal recognition particle (SRP) is a universally conserved ribonucleoprotein involved in the co-translational targeting of proteins to membranes. Archaeal SRP consists of a 7S RNA and homologues of the eukaryotic SRP19 and SRP54 proteins. In most bacteria, the SRP consists of a 4.5S RNA and the Ffh protein (a homologue of the eukaryotic SRP54 protein). RNAcentral also lists the same sequence under 1 other name. The record is from Rfam by way of RNAcentral. Lineage: Bacteria; Pseudomonadati; Pseudomonadota; Gammaproteobacteria; Chromatiales; Chromatiaceae.
CGUCGGUCCCCUCGCAACACGAAACUGUGAACCCGGUCAGGCCCGGAAGGGAGCAGCCGCAGCAGUGGAUGUGUGUGCCGGGGUGUGGCUGGCGUGG